CCCACGAACCAUGAGAUCAUGACCUGAGCUGAAAGCAAGAGUUGGUCACUCAACCAACUGAGCCACCCAGGCACCCUGGGACUUUUAAAUUGGGAAAUGGUAUUUAGAGACCAUAAUACGGUACUGUGGAUGCUCAGUGCUACUGGAUUGAUUAUUAUUUCUAGGUCUUCUCAGUGGGCAGUGUGCAAUUUCUUAAAGAUAAAACCCAUCAUAAACUCAUACAUGAUUUUAUGUCCUGUGGUUGGGCAGGGCUUGGCUGGGUGACUCCUCUGUUUCAGGAGGCAUGGACCGAGGUGCCUCUGUGGUAUUCUGGUGGGUGUGCCCGUCUGGAGGACUCAAGGGGACUUCAUUCCCAUGUCUGGUGACUUCCAGUGGAUGCCGGAAGCAUGGGCUCAGGCUGGCUGGACUUCCUAUAUGGUGGCCUGGGCCUCCUGAGAUAGCAUGCUCACAGAAGCCUCUUAGGACCCAGCCCAAGAAGUCCCAGGAUGUCACUUUCACCACAUUCUGUGGGUCAGGCCGUUCGCUCAGGUCAGCUCAGGAUUAAGAAGAAGAAAGUCCACCAGGUCAGAUAGGAUGCCUGGUCUGGGGAGUCUGAGCAGCACUCACACCAGCAGCACCUUCUCUUGUCCAGGACCUCCGUCACCUGCCUGCUCUCAUGCACCGGCUGAACUGCCUCGGUGACCCACUCUGCCACAUGGUACCUUGGCCCCUGCUGCCUGAACCCGUGGCAGCCCCCAGACGGGUCGGAAGAUGCAUCUUCUACUCAAGGACGUCCCCGCCUGGUUCUGGCACUCUGAAAGCUGGUGACCGUCCCCACUUCCUGGAGAGAUGCAUUUUAAUUCAGUCUAUCGGUUUUCUAUAAAGGCAAUCUGUCUACUGAAGAGUCAUUUCCCAAAAUAACCCCUGAUAAUUGGCUCGUACUCUUUCUUGGAAUGAGAUGUUUGUUUAGCAUAGGAGGGGAUGAGACGCCAGAGAAACAGAGCCCCCACCUAAGCAGUUUUAGGUUUACGGAAAAAUUGAGUGGAAAGUACAGAGAGUCGCAGGGACCGUCUCCCUCCCUGCCCUCCCCGCUCCCAGAUUCUCCGGGUGUAAACAGCCUAUAUUAGAGCCGCCACAGUUGCUGCAACGGAAUGUCACGGAAUUGGAAUCAUAUAGCGUGUGAGCUUCGUGGAUUGUCUUCUUUCCCUUGGUGGAGACGAGAUUAAGACACAGAGGUACACAGACGGACGACCCUGCGAGGACCUGGGGAGCAGGCUGCCAUCCACGAGCUAAGGAGAGGGGCCUUGGAAGAAACCAGCCCCAUUCACACCUCGAUCUUGGACGUCCAGCCUCCAGAACCAUGAGACAAACGUCUGUUGUUUGAGCCACACCGUCUGGGUGCCUGUGAUGGCAGCCGCACGCUAAGACAACACUUUCAUCUGCCCCAUUCCCAACGCUGUCUUCCCCUCCUUGCUUGGUUUUUCUCCUUAGUCUCUAUUCCCACCUGGCAGAUCCGAUGUCUUAUUUAUCUGGUCCCUCGUCUGUCCCAAAGCGCCCUCCCUCCUGUGCCAACUCUGUAAGUGUGAGAUUUUUGUCUAUUUGGUUCACUGCUGAGGCCCCUGUGACCAGAUCAGCACCGAAUACAUAGACUGUGCUCUGUG
This is a long non-coding RNA of Felis catus (domestic cat), 1640 nucleotides long. RefSeq lists it as uncharacterized. The transcript is spliced from 5 exons. Lineage: Eukaryota; Metazoa; Chordata; Mammalia; Carnivora; Felidae. The record is from RefSeq and is a predicted model, not a curated record.